UUCGCAAUGCCCGAAAGGGUGACGAAGCGACGCCGCGUGUGGGAAGAAGGCCUUCGGGUUGUAAACCACUGUCGGGAGUUAAGAAAUACAAGGAUAUGAAUAGUGUCUUUGUUUGACUAAGGCUCCGGAGGAAGCCACGGCUAACUCUGUGCCAGCAGCCGCGGUAAUACAGAGGCGGCAAGCGUUGUUCGGAAUUAUUGGGCGUAAAGAGCACGUAGGCGGCUCUGCAAGUCAGCUGUGAAAGCCUUCUGCUUAACGGAAGAACAGCAGUUGAAACUACAGGGCUUGAGUGUGGGAGAGGAGAGUGGAACUUCUGGUGGAGCGGUGAAAUGCGUAGAUAUCAGAAGGAACGCCGGCGGCGAAAGCGGCUCUCUGGCCCGUAACUGACGCUGAGUGUGCGAAAGCUAGGGGAGCAAACGGGAUUAGAUACCCCGGUAGUCCUAGCCGUAAACGAUGGGCACUAAGUAGAGGGGUUUU
RNAcentral lists this ribosomal RNA (477 nucleotides) under uncultured anaerobic ammonium-oxidizing bacterium. RNAcentral describes it as "bacterial SSU rRNA". It matches the Rfam family "Bacterial small subunit ribosomal RNA", at positions 365 to 832 of the family's 1533-position model. The record is from RNAcentral.